UACGGAGGAUCCGAGCGUUAUCCGGAUUUAUUGGGUUUAAAGGGUGCGCAGGCGGGGGAUUAAGUCGGCGGUGAAAUUUUGCAGCUCAACUGUAAAAGUGCCUUCGAUACUGGUGGUCUUGAGUGUGGAUGAGGUAGGCGGAAUUUGUGGUGUAGCGGUGAAAUGCAUAGAUAUCACGAGGAACUCCGAUUGCUAAGGCAGCUUACUAAGCCAUAACUGACGCUCAAGCACGAAGGCGUGGGGAUCAAACAGGAUUAGAUACCCGUGUA
This 269-nucleotide ribosomal RNA is filed under the name uncultured prokaryote. Its description in RNAcentral is "partial 16S ribosomal RNA". It matches the Rfam family "Bacterial small subunit ribosomal RNA", at positions 524 to 792 of the family's 1533-position model. The record is from RNAcentral.